GCGUCGGUGGCUCAGGGGUCAAGCACUUGACUUGCAAUCAGUAGGUCCUGGGUUCGAAUCCCGCCAUAUGCC
RNAcentral lists this transfer RNA (72 nucleotides) under Papilio xuthus (Asian swallowtail). It matches the Rfam family "tRNA". Rfam says of the family: Transfer RNA (tRNA) molecules are approximately 80 nucleotides in length. Their secondary structure includes four short double-helical elements and three loops (D, anti-codon, and T loops). Lineage: Eukaryota; Metazoa; Arthropoda; Insecta; Lepidoptera; Papilionidae. The record is from Rfam by way of RNAcentral.